RNAcentral lists this ribosomal RNA (253 nucleotides) under uncultured bacterium. Its description in RNAcentral is "partial 16S ribosomal RNA". It matches the Rfam family "Bacterial small subunit ribosomal RNA", at positions 524 to 776 of the family's 1533-position model. The record is from RNAcentral.
UACGAAGGGGGCGAGCGUUGUUCGGAUUUACUGGGCGUAAAGGGCGUGCAGGCGGUUUGUUAAGUGCAGGGUGAAAGCUCCCGGCUCAACUGGGAGAGGUCCUUGCAUACUGGCGAACUCGAGGGAGGCAGAGGAAAGUGGAAUUCCCGGUGUAGUGGUGAUAUGCGUAGAUAUCGGGAGGAACACCAGUGGCGAAGGCGACUACCUGGCCUGUUCUUGACGCUGAGGCGCGAAAGCUAGGGGAGCAAACGGG